RNAcentral lists this ribosomal RNA (447 nucleotides) under uncultured bacterium. Its description in RNAcentral is "bacterial SSU rRNA". It matches the Rfam family "Bacterial small subunit ribosomal RNA", at positions 329 to 793 of the family's 1533-position model. The record is from RNAcentral.
GUCCAGACUCCUACGGGAGGCAGCAGUGGGGAAUAUUGCACAAUGGGGGAAACCCUGAUGCAGCGACGCCGCGUGAGUGAAGAAGUAUUUCGGUAUGUAAAGCUCUAUCAGCAGGGAAGAAAAUGACGGUUCCUGACUAAGAAGCCCCGGCUAACUACGUGCCAGCAGCCGCGGUAAUACGUAGGGGGCAAGCGUUAUCCGGAUUUACUGGGUGUAAAGGGAGCGUAGACGGCAUGGCAAGUCAGAUGUGAAAGCCCGGGGCUCAACCCCGGGACUGCAUUUGGAACUGUGUGGCUGGAGUGUCGGAGAGGCAGGCGGAAUUCCUAGUGUAGCGGUGAAAUGCGUAGAUAUUAGGAGGAACACCAGUGGCGAAGGCGGCCUGCUGGACGAUGACUGACGUUGAGGCUCGAAAGCGUGGGGAGCAAACAGGAUUAGAUACCCCUGUAC